This 399-nucleotide unclassified non-coding RNA is filed under the name Hevea brasiliensis (rubber tree). The record is from RNAcentral. Lineage: Eukaryota; Viridiplantae; Streptophyta; Magnoliopsida; Malpighiales; Euphorbiaceae.
GCACAGUUGAUUGGCAACAUGCAGGUAUAUCAUGCUACCACCUCAAUUUCAUUGCCAUUGUUACUAGUAGUUGGUAGCCAUCGAUAAUUAGACUACUGAAGAUACGCUGAGAUAAAUGUGUGGACUUGUUUGACACAUGCGCCUACAAGAAACCAAAAAAAAUAAUUACUACCUAGUAUGUAUAUAUAAUGAUAGUUUGUUCGCCUCUUUGUCUCUUACUCUCUCAAUUGAGUUUCUGGAUGCACCUAUGACUAUGAAUUUGAAAGUUGAAUUCCCCAUGAUGACGAGUUAAAUGCUAUGAUUUACUAUUAUUUUCAGUUAUGUCGCUAAUCAACUAAUUUUAUAAUUGUUUUAGAAAUUUGUUUUGCAACGCUAAAGUUAGCUAAAAGGAUUUUAUAG